UAUUAAGUCUCAUACUUAUGUUUCUUAUUUCAGUUAUCAUAAACCUAUAGUUUCAAUGAUAAAUAUUCCUGAAUAACCAACAGCUACUGUAAGAUAAUAAAACCCACAUGUAUUGUAAAAUA
Melitaea cinxia (Glanville fritillary) is the source of this 122-nucleotide long non-coding RNA. RefSeq lists it as uncharacterized. The transcript is spliced from 4 exons. The record is from RefSeq and is a predicted model, not a curated record. NCBI's taxonomy places the organism in Eukaryota, Metazoa, Arthropoda, Insecta, Lepidoptera, Nymphalidae.